RNAcentral lists this transfer RNA (75 nucleotides) under Candidatus Woesearchaeota archaeon. Its description in RNAcentral is "tRNA-Cys". It matches the Rfam family "tRNA". From Rfam's summary of the family: Transfer RNA (tRNA) molecules are approximately 80 nucleotides in length. The record is from RNAcentral. Lineage: Archaea; Nanobdellati; Candidatus Woesearchaeota.
GGGCAGAUAGCCGAAUCCGGUUAAGGCAUUCGCCUGCAGAGCGAAAGAUUGGGGGUUCAAAUCCCUCUCUGCCCU